UGGGGAAUUUUGGACAAUGGGGGCAACACUGAUCCAGCAAUGCCGCGUGUGUGAAGAAGGCCUUCGGGUUGUAAAGCACUUUUGUCCGGGAAGAAAUCCUUUUCGAUAAUACCGAGGGGGGAUGACGGUACCGGAAGAAUAAGCACCGGCUAACUACGUGCCAGCAGCCGCGGUAAUACGUAGGGUGCGAGCGUUAAUCGGAAUUACUGGGCGUAAAGCGUGCGCAGGCGGUGAUGUAAGACCGAUGUGAAAUCCCCGGGCUUAACCUGGGAACUGCAUUGGUGACUGCAUCGCUGGAGUAUGGCAGAGGGGGGUAGAAUUCCACGUGUAGCAGUGAAAUGCGUAGAGAUGUGGAGGAAUACCGAUGGCGAAGGCAGCCCCCUGGGCCAAUACUGACGCUCAUGCACGAAAGCGUGGGGAGCAAACAGG
RNAcentral lists this ribosomal RNA (429 nucleotides) under Fusobacteriota bacterium. RNAcentral's name for it is "Fusobacteria bacterium partial 16S ribosomal RNA". It matches the Rfam family "Bacterial small subunit ribosomal RNA", at positions 355 to 776 of the family's 1533-position model. Lineage: Bacteria; Fusobacteriati; Fusobacteriota. The record is from RNAcentral.